RNAcentral lists this ribosomal RNA (354 nucleotides) under uncultured Glomus. RNAcentral describes it as "SSU rRNA". It matches the Rfam family "Eukaryotic small subunit ribosomal RNA", at positions 569 to 927 of the family's 1831-position model. The record is from RNAcentral. Lineage: Eukaryota; Fungi; Glomeromycota; Glomeromycetes; Glomerales; Glomeraceae.
AGCAGCCGCGGUAAUUCCAGCUCCAAUAGCGUAUAUUAAAGUUGUUGCAGUUAAAAAGCUCGUAGUUGAAUUUCGGGGUUAGUAGGUUGGUCAUGCCUCUGGUAUGUACUGGUCUCACUGAUUCCUCCUUCCUGAUGAACCUUAAUGCCAUUUAUUUGGUGUUUUGGGGAAUUUGGACUGUUACUUUGAAAAAAUUAGAGUGUUUAAAGCAAGCUAACGCUUGAAUACAUUAGCAUGGAAUAAUGAAAUAGGACGUUCGAUCCUAUUUUGUUGGUUUCUAGAAUUGACGUAAUGAUUAAUAGGGAUAGUUGGGGGCAUUAGUAUUCAAUUGUCGGAGGUGAAAUUCUUGGGAUU